GCAUCAUAGACGGUGGCACUCAAACGCAGUCUGCAAAUCCGAACAUGGGAAGAGAAAAGCCGAAGGUGGUGGUUAUUAUGGGGCCGACCGGUUCUGGGAAGUCCCGUCUCGCCAUCGAUUUGGCUUCUCACUUCCCCGUCGAGAUCAUCAACGCCGACUCUAUGCAGGUUUAUCGAGGGUUGGACGUUCUCUCUAACAAAGUUCCCCCCGAAGACCAAAAUGGAGUACCGCAUCAUCUUUUAGGUACAGUGAG
Molecule: unclassified non-coding RNA, 253 nt
Filed under: Hevea brasiliensis (rubber tree)
Lineage: Eukaryota; Viridiplantae; Streptophyta; Magnoliopsida; Malpighiales; Euphorbiaceae
Source: RNAcentral